Molecule: long non-coding RNA, 1616 nt
Filed under: Mus musculus (house mouse)
Lineage: Eukaryota; Metazoa; Chordata; Mammalia; Rodentia; Muridae
Description: long non-coding RNA chr2:49216092-49217708
Source: RNAcentral
UUUUGGUAUAGCAUUGGAAAUGUAAAUGAGCUAAAUACCUAAUAAAAAAUGGAAAAGGAAAAAAAAAGUUAAAAAAAAAAAAGAAUGCCUCAAAGCCCACCUAUACAGUGAUACACUUCCUCCAACAUGGCCAUGCCUACUCCAGCAAGGGCAUUCCUAUUCUUUCUUUCUUUCUUUCUUUCUUUCUUUCUUUCUUUCUUUCUUUCUUUCUUUCUUUUUUCUAUUAAUUAAAAAAAAUACAGGCUUUUUUUAAAGAUUUAUUUAUUUUAUGUAAGUACAGUAUUGCUCUCUUCAGACACAUUGGAAGAGAGCAUCAGAUCCUGUUAUGAGCCACCAUGUGGUUGCUGGGAAUUGAACUCAGAACCUCUGGAAGAGCAGUCAGUGCUCUUAACCACUGUGCCCUAUUCUUUAUUCCUUUCCAAUUCUUUUCUUUUCUUUACUAUAUUUAAAUUUUUAUUUUUAUUUACAUGAGUGUGUGCCUGAAUGUUUUUUCCCUUUUUUUAUUAGAUAUUUUCUUUAUUUAUAUUUCAAAUGUUAUCCCCUUUCCCUGUCACACACACACAAACACCCGGAACCCCCUAUGACAACCCCUCCCCCGCUUCUAUGAGGAUAUUCCCCCACUGACCGGUACCUACUCUCUCCUCCCCACCCUGGCAUUCCCCAACACCAGGGCAUCAAGUCUUCACAGGACCAAGAACCUCUUCUCCCAUUGAUGCCUGACAAGGCCAUCCUCUGCUGCAUAUGCAGCUGGAGCCAUGGGUCCCUCCAUGUGUACCCUUUGGUUGGUGGUUUAGUCCCUGGGAACUCUGGAGGGGUCAGGUUGAUUUAUAUUGUUGUUCCUCCUAUGGGGUUGCAAACCCUUUCAGCUCUUUUAGUCCUUUCUCUAACUCCUCCAUUGGGGACCCUGUACUCAGUCCAAUGGUUGACUGUGAGCAUCUGCCUCUGUAUUUGUCAGGCUCUGGCAGAGCCUCUCAGGAGACAGCUAUAUCAGGCUCCUGUCAACAUGGACUUCCUGCCAUCUACAAUAGUGUCUACAUUUGGUGACUGUAUAUGGGAUGGAUCCCCAGGUGGGGCAGUCUCUGGAUGGCCUGUCCUUCAGUCUCUGCUCUACUGUUUGUCCCUGUAUUUUCUUUAAACAGGAGCAAUUCUGGGUUAAAAUUUUGGACAUGGGUGGGUGGCCCUAUCCCUCAACCAGGUUGCCAUGCCUAACCUCUAGAUAUGGUCUUGACAGCUUCUCCCUCCCCUUUGUGGGGUAUUUCAGCUAAUGCCAUCCCUUUGGGGUCCUGGGAGGCUCUUGCUUUCCUGGCAUCUGAAACUUCCUGGUUCCUACCCCUUUGCCCAUCGCCCAUUGCUACACACCUCUGUUCAAUUUCCUGACCCUCUGUACAUCUCCAGGACACAAUGAGAAGACCAAACCUAAGGAUAAUAGGUAUAAAAGAGAGAGAAGAUUCCCAACUCAAAGGGCCCGUAAAUACCUUCAACAAAAUUAUAGAGGAAAACUUCCCUGACCUAAAGAAAGAGAUGUCUAUAAACAUACAAGAGGCCUACAGAAUUCCAAAUAGACUAGACCAGAAAAGAAAUUCCUCCCAUCACAUAAUAGUCAAAACACCAAAUGC